GAGGGUAUAGCUCAGUGGCAGAGCAUUUGACUGCUAAUCGAGAGAUCACCGGUUCAAACCCGGGUGUCCUCC
This is a non-coding RNA of Trichonephila clavipes, 72 nucleotides long. Lineage: Eukaryota; Metazoa; Arthropoda; Arachnida; Araneae; Nephilidae. The record is from the annotation of a GenBank genome assembly.